GAUGAACGCUGGCGGCGUGCUUAACACAUGCAAGUCGAACGAUGAAGCCCAGCUUGCUGGGUGGAUUAGUGGCGAACGGGUGAGUAACACGUGAGUAACCUGCCCUUAACUCUGGGAUAAGCCUGGGAAACUGGGUCUAAUACCGGAUAGGAGCGUCCACCGCAUGGUGGGUGUUGGAAAGAUUUAUCGGUUUUGGAUGGACUCGCGGCCUAUCAGCUUGUUGGUGAGGUAAUGGCUCACCAAGGCGACGACGGGUAGCCGGCCUGAGAGGGUGACCGGCCACACUGGGACUGAGACACGGCCCAGACUCCUACGGGAGGCAGCAGUGGGGAAUAUUGCACAAUGUGCGCAAGCCUGAUGCAGCGACGCCGCGUGAGGGAUGACGGCCUUCGGGUUGUAAACCUCUUUCAGUAGGGAAGAAGCGAAAGUGACGGUACCUGCAGAAGAAGCACCGGCUAACUACGUG
Molecule: ribosomal RNA, 466 nt
Filed under: uncultured bacterium
Lineage: Bacteria
Description: partial 16S ribosomal RNA
Rfam family: Bacterial small subunit ribosomal RNA
Source: RNAcentral